RNAcentral lists this small RNA (422 nucleotides) under Pan troglodytes (chimpanzee). RNAcentral's name for it is "processed transcript". The record is from RNAcentral. Lineage: Eukaryota; Metazoa; Chordata; Mammalia; Primates; Hominidae.
AUUUCCUUUGACCUCGCUGAGUACACUGCGGACGUUGACGGAGUUGGCACUCUACGACUUCUAGAUGCAGUUAAGACUUGUGGCCUUAUCAACUCUGUGAAGUUCUACCAAGCCUCAACAAGUGAACUUUAUGGGAAAGUGCAGGAAAUACCCCAGAAGGAGACCACCCCUUUCUAUCCCCGGUCACCCUAUGGGGCAGCAAAACUCUAUGCCUAUUGGAUUGUGGUGAACUUCCGUGAGGCGUAUAAUCUCUUUGCAGUGAAUGGCAUUCUCUUCAAUCAUGAGAGUCCCAGAAGAGGAGCUAAUUUCGUUACUCGAAAAAUUAGCCGGUCAGUAGCUAAGAUUUACCUUGGACAACUGGAAUGUUUCAGUUUGGGAAAUCUGGAUGCCAAACGAGAUUGGGGCCAUGCCAAGGACUAUGU